Long non-coding RNA from Bos taurus (domestic cattle), 1315 nucleotides. Lineage: Eukaryota; Metazoa; Chordata; Mammalia; Artiodactyla; Bovidae. The record is from Ensembl.
ACUUUAAUCUUUGGGAAUAAUGAUACCAGCUUCCAAGAGUUCAGGAAAUAUGCCCAUGGGCCUACAUGGGCGUGGCACAUGGCUGUAGCUCAAAAAAAAGAAAAUGUAGCUGUUGUUGAAUCAAGGGUUUAUCCUUUUUCAAAGCACUUUCAAUAGCUCAGGCCCAGAUGAUGCACAGAGAACCAACUGAGCAGCAUGUCUGGUUUGCUUAGAUGUCCUGAGGCUGCGGGAGACAGGGUCCCCCCUCGCGGGGCCGGGUCAGCCAGGGGGACGUGGCUCCAGGAGCACCAGGGCCAAAGUGAAAGGGAAGGUGACCUGGUCACAGGCCAGCGAGAGCUUUAAGGGGUCGCUGCCCGUGGACUCCCUGUGGGCAGUAGCAGAGCUAGACAAGAAGACUGGUCUUCAGAUUCCCGUGAGAGUUUCCUCUUGGGACAGAGAGUGUGACAACUUGGGCAGAGGAGGAGGAGAAGUUGUUGAGCCACUAAGUCACAUCUGACUCUUAGGACCUCAUGGACUGUAGCCUGCCAGGCUCUUCUGUUCAAGGGAUUUCCCAGGUGAGAAUACUGGAGUGGGUUGCCAUUUCCUCCUCCAGGGGAUCUUCCCGAUCCAGGGAUCGAACCUGUGUCUCCUGCCUUGACAGGCAGCUUCUUUACCACUGAACUACCAGGGAAGCCUUGAGGAGGAGAAGAGGGGACCAUAAACCCAGGAGGACCCUGCUUCAAGUGACCUCUCCGAGGAAGGGUGAGACGCAGGCCAGCUCCCGGUACACCAGGGCAAAGGCAGCCUGCGGAAGAGAUUGAAUAAAUGGCAGAAAGGAGCUGUAGAGGGAAAUAAGGCUGCCGAUAACUCAGAAGCUCGCUGUCCCGUCAAGAGGUGGGGGCUGCGGGCCUCGAGAAGAGGUAUUCAGGCGCCCACGUGGAAGGGGAGCGGGGUUGGAGUCUGCUGGUGGCCACGCCAGGUGGCAUUGGGACCCUGGAUCUGCCUGGUGACUGGUUCUCUCGGGUACUUUGGGGUGGGGAUUGGGAGAAGAGGAACUGGAGUCCUGGGGCCUUCGGGGAUAUGGUUGCAGGACCAGCAGCUGGAGAGAGUUCCGAGCCUGUGGAUCUCCACCUGCAGACGUCAGCGGGGAGAGAGAAACGCUGACUCCGCGCUGUUGGGGGGGUGGCGUCAGGUUCGACCUCUCAGAAGGGCGCUCUGGCAACGCCUAUCCGAGUCAUGGAAAUGUGCGUCCUUCUGGCCCCAUAACUCCAAGUCUGAGAAUUUCACCGAAGGAAAGAGAUUCAUCAGUGAAAUCAUAGGGUUAUUGUUCUUGCUU